UUUGUGGAUCCUUACAUACAUAUGUUGUCUAAUCGAGCCAUGGAUCCAAAGGAACUCAGCAUAUAAUUAAAUCAAGAUGUGCAUGUGUGGUGGAGUAAAUGAUAGUGAUGGUAAAAAUGUAUAAGUGAUGAUAAAACUUACUUCUCAUUGCUCCUCAUAUUGCUAUCUCUCCUCCUCUCUUGAUCUUUGCCUUGGGAGAACAUGGGCUAUCUCUUUUUUUUUCAGGUGGGUAGUAAAUACCCCUAAUUCUACUGUCAGACACUUGUCCAUUUUUUCCGCUCAGGUGGGCAUCUUUGUACCCCUAAUUCUACUCCGGACACUUGUCCAUUUUUACCUCUCGUCUCACUCUCUUUUUCUUUCUUUUUCGAGGUUCCGGGCACUUGCCUCUUUUUAUUUCUUCGCAUAUUUUUACAUAACCCAUGUCUCUUCUGCAUUGAAUCUUUUUGGAUAAAGAGAAUAACAACACUUGGGACAGUGAGUGAUAAUAUUAUUUUUAGUAAUUUGAAUGCAUGGUGAUGAAUAGUGUAGUGGAUGUGUGCAAGUGAAUAUCUUAAUUUAACCACAUGAAAAGCUCCUACAGCUCGAUCAAACUUAAUGUGAAUAUAGUAAAGGGUGUUAUAGCAAGUAUGGCUGUGGUAGGAAUUUUUUCAUGCUAGGAACUCAUCAUGUGAUUUGCAAGUUUUCAAAAUAAAUCUCCAGAACUAAGUGUAGUAGGAACAGGAUAAAUAGUAGCUCAAACUUUAUAUCAUGCCUUCUUCUUACCUAGACUUUAGUUUUAGGUUCAUGCUUCCCAUAGAUAUUUUAGUUUUUUUAGUAAUUUCUGGAAGAACUCUAAUAUAAAAGCUAGGUACUCGAAAGUAAGCAAACAGAGCAAUUGUUCAUCAUUUCCAUUAUGUAUUUUUUUGGUCUUUUUAUUUUUUCUAGAGAUUAACACUUAGC
Molecule: long non-coding RNA, 939 nt
Filed under: Sorghum bicolor (sorghum)
Lineage: Eukaryota; Viridiplantae; Streptophyta; Magnoliopsida; Poales; Poaceae
Description: long non-coding RNA (SBIC_LNC012985)
Source: RNAcentral